UACGUAGGGGGCUAGCGUUGUCCGGAAUUAUUGGGCGUAAAGAGCUCGUAGGCGGUUUGUCGCGUCUGUCGUGAAAGCUUGGGGCUUAACCCCAAGUCUGCGGUGGAUACGGGCAGACUGGAGGUAUGCAGGGGAGAACGGAAUUCCUGGUGUAGCGGUGAAAUGCGCAGAUAUCAGGAGGAACACCGGUGGCGAAGGCGGUUCUCUGGGCAUGUCCUGACGCUGAGGAGCGAAAGUGUGGGGAGCGAACAGG
This 253-nucleotide ribosomal RNA is filed under the name uncultured bacterium. RNAcentral describes it as "partial 16S ribosomal RNA". It matches the Rfam family "Bacterial small subunit ribosomal RNA", at positions 524 to 776 of the family's 1533-position model. The record is from RNAcentral.